CAGGAGGAAAUCCACUUGUAGUGUCUCAGCCCAUGGACCAAUGUCAUAUUGACUGAAUAAAACAAUUUGGCUUGGAGGGAGUUUGAUACAUGCUGGAUGAGAAAAAGUGUCUAAGCAGCGUUGAGGAACCAGGCAGAGUAGGAUCAACACUGUUUUCUUGUGGCACCUCUUGAGCCAUUCAGUGGUUCUCAAAUAUCCAACAAGGUGCUGGUGCUGGGUUCCCAAAGAGCACAUCUUAGUCAUGUGAGGCAUCUGUCAACUAUCGGGGAUUCCAGGUGAGAGGGAGAUUCCAUGGGACUUGUGUCACCAUGGGAAUGGAACAUGAGAGGAUUCUUAGGGGAAAUGGAGUUGUGUCUCCUGAUUUUUGGGAAACCAUGGGUUUCAAGAAGAGCACCAUUUGGCAUCAUAUUUGUCCAAAGUGAAUAAAGGCAUCAUCUUGGACCAUGAAGGAGGUAACACAAGAAGAUGGAAAAUGUCAAGAAACUGCGUCUCAAAUAUUUGAUGGAAGUCUACCUGGGUCUAAAGCUUGGGCUUCUAACCAAGCCACAACAUAAUGUUUGAAUCUAAGGAAAUAUCCUGCCAUCGGAUGGAGCCACUCCAUCUCUUCCUCUGUGAGUUCUCUUCAUGCCUGGUGAAAGGUGUGGCAUUUUUGUUUUUCAUUUUGCUCCUUAAAUUGGUGACAACACUGCAUAGCAAUUAAGGCCCUGAUGGUUGGAGUUUGGCUGAACUUGGGUUUGAGUUCUAGCAAUGAUUUCAUUGCUAGAUAUGAAACCAGAAACACAGGCAACAAAAGUAAAAAAAUAGACCCAUGGUUCCACAUUAAAUUAAAAAAUUUCUGCACAGCAAAGAAAACAAUCAGAGUGAAAAGGCAACCUAUGAAAUGGGAGAAAAUAUUUGCAAACCAUAUAUCUAAAAAGGAGUAAUAUCCAAACUAUACAAGGAACUCCUAUAGCUCAAUAGCAAAAAACCUAACAACCUGAUUUAUAAAAUGAGCUAAGAACUUGAAUAGACAUUUCUCUAAAGAAAACAUAUAUAUAGUCAGCAGGAAUAGGAAAAAAUUAAUUACUCAA
Long non-coding RNA from Felis catus (domestic cat), 1070 nucleotides. RefSeq lists it as uncharacterized. Lineage: Eukaryota; Metazoa; Chordata; Mammalia; Carnivora; Felidae. The transcript is spliced from 5 exons. The record is from RefSeq and is a predicted model, not a curated record.